UAGAGCAAAGCAUUGAAAAUGCUUGGGUCACCGGUUCAAGUCCGGUUCCUGGCA
RNAcentral lists this transfer RNA (54 nucleotides) under Volvox carteri f. nagariensis. RNAcentral describes it as "partial tRNA-Phe". It matches the Rfam family "tRNA", at positions 19 to 71 of the family's 71-position model. From Rfam's summary of the family: Transfer RNA (tRNA) molecules are approximately 80 nucleotides in length. The record is from RNAcentral. Lineage: Eukaryota; Viridiplantae; Chlorophyta; Chlorophyceae; Chlamydomonadales; Volvocaceae.